UACAAAUCGGAACAAUUUUUGACAAGAUUUUUGAGUUUUGUCAGAUGUGAAUUGUUAAGAUUUAAUUGAAAAAAUGAACAGAACGCGGCAGCUAUUUCGAAGGGAGUGACCCAGAACCAAUUAGAAUGGAGUAACAAUUGAGCAUUCUCCGCCAAGAAAUCCGCAUCGGGGAUCAGAUUAGAGCCGCCGCAGCCCCGCCCGCCCGCUCCCCAACUCCAAAUAUCAUUAGUGAGAGACUGCCAGGAAUUGCUUUUCCCGAUCAAUUUUCCUAGUUUUGAAGGUGAAGUUUACCCGGGGACCGUGCGGAGGGCGCUGGCCGGUCACCUCCGGGCAGGCGACGGACAACGUGGGGACCAUCCUGAAAAAACAGGAUGAAGCCCUGAUGGAACACUACCUAGCAAGGAUGGGACAGCCUUCUGCAGUUCUGAAGUAACUUCUAAGUGGCGUGGGCACAGACACAAUUGCCACGGCCUAAAGCCUGGGAGGCCGGCUGGCGCUCGGGGCCGACGCCUCCUCGCUCCAUCUGCUCUGCAACAGAUGCGACUUGGACCUCCACCUGGCCUGUGUGGUUGAUGAAUCUGCCCGUCAUGGUGCAAAGUGCAAGGACCGUGGGGUCUGGCAGGCCUGGCUGCAGCUGCCGGUGUCUUCUGAUUGGCUCCAAGCCCUGAGCUCCUUCCUGUGCCCACCCUAUCCCUGACUGAGUCCUCCCCACGGCUGCAGUGUAGAAACCCAGGAGCUGAGGCCGCCAGAGGAAGGGAGUUUGGAACCCAGGACCCAGGCCUCGUACUCCCCACUCGGCCCUGGAGACCUGCACGUGGGGGCCUAGGACCCCGCCCCGCCCAGAUUCCCCCGUGCCGGGAUGGGGGCUGUGCCCACCUCCCUAGAGCCAGCAGCGGGCUGGAAGAGAAAAAGCUUGAAAUUGAAUCCUCCGCGGCUUGGGGGUCAGGGAGCAGACCCCCACAUUUUCUCCACUGUCAAAACCCCCGUAGGAUUUUCUUGAAGUUCAGUUUCACAUCAUCUGGCUGAACAUUUGGAACUUUUUAAACGGAAAUUGUAGAAAAAAUGAGAAGCAUUUUCAUCUCGGAACACAAUACCUUCCUGGCGGGGAGCCCCGGGGAGAAGCCGCGGCCGCCUGGGUGGAGAAGAACCCAGGUCAUUGUCAAUCUGGAUUAAUCCGAGUUCUUCCGCCGAGCGAGCCGGUGCCGGGCAGAGCCGGCUAAUCAGGGUGUCUCUGCACCCGUCCGGCUCCUGCUCGCACUUCUGCCAGUCUGCCCGGCAGCCUCCCUCACUGUGAGCGCCUUGCAUCCACCCGACAGGACCGCACCCCAGGGAGCGUGGCAUCCGGGCACUGGGGACUCCAGCCUGGAGUUUGGCAUGGGCUCAGUGGACAGGGACACCAGAGGGCAGGGCGGGCAAGCAGCUGGUGUCACCUGGUUCCGAGGGCUGGUGCCACAGCCCUGGCCUCCGAAGAUGCGCAGUGGUGGUCUCCAGGGUCCCUCAGAGUUCUGCCAGGGAGACAGCUGGGCCCAUUUCACAGACUGAGGGACAGAGGCAGUGGGAGGAUCUCCCAGCCCACAGUAUCAGCCACAAGCCGGACAGCGGCCCUGGUCCAGGUGGAGGCAGUACAGGGGGCUCUUCCGACAUCCCCUCCCCGUCCAGGCGUUGGGACCUCCCCACACACCUGCAGCGGCGGCAGGCGGAGAUGGUGGUUUGAGGGGCAGCGACGGGGGUGACUGAAUUAACA
Long non-coding RNA from Chinchilla lanigera (long-tailed chinchilla), 1744 nucleotides. RefSeq lists it as uncharacterized. NCBI's taxonomy places the organism in Eukaryota, Metazoa, Chordata, Mammalia, Rodentia, Chinchillidae. The record is from RefSeq and is a predicted model, not a curated record. The transcript is spliced from 3 exons.